UAGAAAAGAACAAAAAAAACAACAAAAACCCACCUUAAAGAAGAGUCAGCAAUAACUAAAAGAGUAGUUGGAGCCUCAAAGAAUCAACAAAAGUACAUGGCAAAAGAAAAAAACCAACAAGAAGGGGAGAAUAGCAGGAAACCAUAAUAAACACAAAAAGUCAGUUAAGGCGGAAGAGACAGAGAGAGAGAAUGCAUGCCUUGGUUAUAAGAACAAAGGUUAAAAGAGUUUGAGUGUAGAUAGUGAACACUCUCUCCCGAGGUCACAUGAGAAAGAGCUGCAACGAGAGACAUAGAACUGCUAAGUUUCUGUUUAUGUCUAGUAAAGCCAGCUUCUUGCAGACAUGAUGUGAA
This 353-nucleotide unclassified non-coding RNA is filed under the name Hevea brasiliensis (rubber tree). The record is from RNAcentral. Lineage: Eukaryota; Viridiplantae; Streptophyta; Magnoliopsida; Malpighiales; Euphorbiaceae.